AUGCAGAUCUUCGUCAAGACCCUGACCGGCAAGACCAUCACCCUGGAGGUCGAGUCCUCUGACACCAUCGACAACGUGAAGGCCAAGAUCCAGGACAAGGAGGGCAUUCCCCCGGACGAGCAGCGUCUUAUCUUUGCUGGCAAGCAGCUCGAGGAUGGCCGCACCCUUGCGGACUACAACAUCCAGAAGGAGUCCACCCUCCACCUGGUUCUCAGGCUCCGUGGUGGUAUGCAGAUAUUUGUCAAGACCCUCACUGGCAAAACCAUCACCCUCGAGGUUGAGUCCUCAGACACCAUUGAUAAUGUGAAGGCCAAGAUCCAGGACAAGGAGGGUAUCCCACCGGACCAGCAGCGUCUCAUCUUUGCUGGCAAGCAGCUCGAGGAUGGCCGCACCCUUGCAGACUACAACAUCCAGAAGGAGUCCACUCUNCACUUGGUGCUCAGGCUCCGUGGUGGCAUGCAGAUAUUUGUGAAGACCCUCACCGGCAAGACCAUCACCCUGGAGGUGGAGUCAUCUGACACCAUUGACAACGUGAAGGCGAAGAUCCAGGACAAGGAGGGCAUUCCCCCGGACCAGCAGCGUCUCAUCUUUGCCGGUAAGCAGCUUGAGGAUGGCCGCACCUUGGCGGACUACAACAUCCAGAAGGAGUCCACCCUUCACUUGGUGCUCCGUCUCCGUGGUGGCCAGUAA
RNAcentral lists this ribosomal RNA (690 nucleotides) under Triticum aestivum (bread wheat). Its description in RNAcentral is "partial small subunit ribosomal RNA". Lineage: Eukaryota; Viridiplantae; Streptophyta; Magnoliopsida; Poales; Poaceae. The record is from RNAcentral.